RNAcentral lists this long non-coding RNA (1439 nucleotides) under Equus caballus (horse). RNAcentral describes it as "lncRNA (ENSECAG00000037368.3)". Lineage: Eukaryota; Metazoa; Chordata; Mammalia; Perissodactyla; Equidae. The record is from RNAcentral.
CGCGAGCUGGUUCUUAAAACUUUGCUCAGAAGUGAAACACUUCGGAGAGUUCUCGUCAAGAUGGCGCUGUGAGCAGACGUUGAACUCGCCUCCUCCCACGAACACAACCAGGUUACAACAAUUUUGGGAAGAAUCACCCUGGAUUGAAAACUGAAAACUGGAUAAAAAGAACCCCCACGACAAGGGACAGUCCUGACGAAAGCAGAAGAGGCAGUACCUCCGGCCGGAGAGGAAAAAAGCCACCUUUGGGAGCAGUGGAGCUUCUCAACUGGCCAGGCAGGAGCCAACCUAAGAUUCUGCAAGUUUUGAGAAAUGUAUGAUGACAUGUAUCCACCAUAACUUAAACAACAGAAAUUUAUUUUCUCAUUGUUCUGGAGGCUGGAAGUCUGAGGUCAGGGUGCCAGCACAGUCAGCUUCUGUCACAAUUACAUCUUCUAUACUGAUCCCUGGAAUAUUCACAAUUGGAACCCCGAGCCACUAUGUUAGAAGUCUUACUACUCUGAGGCUGCCAUACAGUGAGGAAGCAAAGCCACAUAAAAAUGCUACAUGCAGGUCUUCCGAAGAGCAGUCCUCAAGUUCCUGUUAUCCCAGCCUAGCGUCAGACAUGGAAGUGAAUGAGCUUCAGAUGGUUCCAACUCCAGCCAUCAAGUGUCUUAGAGGCUUUCUGUUUGAAAGUUCAGCUGCCAUGGAGCAAAAAAAGCAUAUACUCCCACUCGGCCCUGAGUUCCUGACCCACAGGAUCUAAUGUCUAGUACAGUGCAUGGCACAUGAUAGAAGAAAAGUGUAUUAUUGAAGUGGAGAAGUUAUAGCAGAAAGGUUAAUAACCGUUAGCAUCAUCAAUUUAAUAACCAUUGGCACCAGCAUCCUGAUGUCUGGAAGAAACCAUCUAUCCUACAGUUAAAUGACUUCCUGGAAAUCAUACCUGUGUCAUCUUGGACAAGUUACUUAAUGUCUCUGAGACUCAGCUUCUUCAUCUAAAAAGAAAAUAAUGCUGAUUAUACUACAACCCACCUUCAAAGGGUAAUUAGGAUUAAAUGAGAUAAAGCAUGAAAAAGAUUUAGCAAAUUUCCCAGCACAGAGUAAGCACUAUAAACAUUAACUAUCACAUUUGAGUGAACAAGAACAUCCUGAACAAACUCAGAGUGAUGCCACUCCCUUGAAGCCACACAGAGUUCCAUCACAGUGCUAUACACAGAAGCAGCAAGUUGGCUGUCCUGUGAAGACACAAUUUCCUGAUGGCCCAUACCCACCACAUUCACGGCACUCAUGAGGAAUUGUUUACUUCUCUGUUUCUUUGAUGACUGAUGUUCGUAAUCAAAGAGACCCAGAAUAAAUCAUUGCAGCUACUCCUACAAAAGUCAAGAGUAUCCACACCACAUCUGACUACUUGGUGAAAAAUAGCCACAGAAGACGAAUAAGUUUCCUAUCAGUGAAAGGGG